Molecule: ribosomal RNA, 394 nt
Filed under: uncultured bacterium
Lineage: Bacteria
Description: partial 16S ribosomal RNA
Rfam family: Bacterial small subunit ribosomal RNA
Source: RNAcentral
CCUACGGGAGGCUGCAGUGAGGAAUAUUGGUCAAUGGACGAGAGUCUGAACCAGCCAUGUCGCGUGCAGGAUGACUGCUCUAUGAGUUGUAAACUUCUUUUAUAUGGGAGUAAACUGUUCCACGUGUGGGAAUUUGUAUGUACUGUACGAAUAAGGAUCGGCUAACUCCGUGCCAGCAGCCGCGGUAAUACGGAGGAUCCGAGCGUUAUCCGGAUUUAUUGGGUUUAAAGGGAGCGUAGGUGGAUUGUUAAGUCAGUUGUGAAAGUUUGGGGCUUAACCGUGAAAUUGCAGUUGAUACUGUCAGUCUAGAGUACAGAUGAGGUAGGCGGAAUGCAUGGUGUAGCGGUGAAAUGCUUAGAGAUCACGAAGAACUCCGAUUGCGAAGGCAGCUCAC